CGAGUAACUAAACGUCCAAGAACAACGAUCAAGUAAAGCCACUUUUAUUAGCUUCAUAGCAUCAUCCCAAUAUCUAGAUUGAACAUCAAGAUCCCAAAAAUGGUUUACAAGCAAUAAUUGGUAACUUGUACGAUUAUUAAAUACUAUUAAACCCUUAGAAAUAAGUAUUAAAAAUUAGCCGGCUGAUCAUGACAACAACACAAAGGCGAAGGAGAUGGCAUACAAGCACCCGUUAGAAAACCCCGCUCUUGGCAAAGUUGUAGGCAACUGUUCUUAAUCGAUGCACAUGGUCCAAUGCAUGCAGGUGUAAGACCUGAAUACAUGCAUAUACAAUCAAUCAAUAUGUUUUAUAAUCUUAUAAUAACACAAGAAAUGAGAAAUGAAAGAAAGUUUUCAUACCUAAACUUGGAACAAAUACCAACACCAAAACUGUGAUGGCCAGUAUUGUUUUUGAUGUCAAAGCCAUGAGUCUAAUUAACGUUUGAUUUGAUGUAGCUUGAUU
Molecule: long non-coding RNA, 502 nt
Filed under: Lactuca sativa (garden lettuce)
Lineage: Eukaryota; Viridiplantae; Streptophyta; Magnoliopsida; Asterales; Asteraceae
Description: long non-coding RNA (LSAT_LNC006978)
Source: RNAcentral